Long non-coding RNA from Callithrix jacchus (white-tufted-ear marmoset), 12497 nucleotides. RefSeq lists it as uncharacterized. NCBI's taxonomy places the organism in Eukaryota, Metazoa, Chordata, Mammalia, Primates, Cebidae. The record is from RefSeq and is a predicted model, not a curated record.
CAGGGUCAGAGGUGCCGCUGCCGAGGUCCCGGUGACUCGCAGAAGGGAAGGCUGGGCCAGGCUCUGUGUGGGCGGCGGGCGGGCACCUCAGCAGCGCCUACCCGGGCGCCGGCCAGGCGGAGAGGAGGCCGCCGCACUUUCCCCCAGCCCCGGCCUGGGCCCCAUUGGGCGCCCCCAAGCCCCGGGCCCUAGGUCAGGCGCGCCUCCCCGCCCUCGACCGCGUCACCUUCCAGGUGCCCAGGCCCACGGCUGGGAUAUCUCCCAUGGCCGCCACCGCCCCCGCCCCCGCCCCGCGCGGGACUACCAACGGACACCGAGCGAGUUACCACAGCGUUGGCGACGAAGGGCGGCUGCGAUUGGCUGAAAGUGCCUUGUGACGGCUGACACGCUGACAAUGGCUGGAGGCACGAACGCCAGGCUUCCUCACUGGCUGCUGGCUUCGAGUGGCGGGCACUCUGAUUGGCUGGUUUUUAUCAAAGACAGGCAUCCUGAUUGGCUGAAGGCACAGAGCCAGCGGGAGCCCCACAUGGCUGGAGGCACUCACUCUGGACAUUCUGAUUGGCUGCGGGGGCACGGACAACGGACUUUCCAAUUGGCUUGCCGAGCCACGCAGGGGCGGGGAAGGUUUUCCAGUUGAGUGGCAGUGCCGCUCAGGUCCCUGUAGGCUGGACCGCCUGGGUGCCUUCUCCUUCACGCAGGGUGCACACGCAACUGAGAUAUGGCUGAUGACAUUUUUCUCCUUGUGGUGGAUAAAGAACAAGCACAAGAAAAACCAUUUCCAGGCUGUGAUCUCACAGUGGCUUGUGGGGCAAGCAUAUAAAUAAGAAUGCAGAACAGAGGUACACUGAGAUAUCCAAGACUUUGCGGCCAGUUCAAGAAAAGCCAAACUGAGGCUGUGGUUGCUGGGAGUCAGAAUGGAGAGCCUCUCCAUUCAGUCACCUGCCUGUGAUUUUAGUGGGAUUUGUGGAAGGAGCAGACAUAGACUUGAAUCAUUCAAUGAAGAAACAUGAAGCAUGUGCUCAAGAAUGUGGAGGCCACACUACUGUUAGAAGCAUGGUCCCCGCUCAGUACUCUGUGAAGAAAAUCCCAUGACAAAGGAUUGGCUUGACUAACACUUCCAACUAAUGAUUAGCUCUUCUUUGCAAGGUUAUUUAAGAGUGGAUAAAUAUGACUUUGGGGAAGGUGGAAUAUUUCAUUUGUAUUUUUUGGUGAACAAACCAUUUUUGAGUUUCUACUUUCUUCUUAAGUAAAUAGCUAUCUUUAUUGUGGAUUAACAUGGACCUGGAAAGAAGGCAGGACCCGGAUUUCUACCAUUGUUUUGAGAAUGGAUAUUGGCAGGUUUUCUCAAGCCACCUCUCCUCCAACCCUCCUUGACACCCUUUGUCCUGAAAUCUAGCUCUGCAGACAUAGUUAUGGUGGCGGAGUGGUACAUAUUCUCAGAGGAUAGGAAGUUUACAGAGAAGAGGGGAAUGAAACCCACAUCCAGAGACAGAAUUACCUGAAACUUUAACAUCCAGGGACUCUUAUUAGAUAAAUUCCUCCAAAAUCUUGGGAGAGGCUUCCUCCAUGGCAUUAUGUUUUAUAAGUUAUGUUUUAUGAAUGGCUGCUUUUUAUAGAAAUGUACUUAAUGAAGAAGAGAAAAUCUGAUUCAAAACCUGAAGAAUGGAUGAGUCACAUGCCUAUUUCCUACUCUGUCCAGUGCUCCUUUCUUCACUGGAAAUUUCUUAGCCAAAAGCAUCAUUUGGAAGAAGCAAAGACAAUCCUAUCUAAAUGGAUGUGUGCAGAGAGGACAUUCUAUUUACGAAGAAUUUAUUUCCUGCUUCCUGUAGAUGGAGCUAAACCCUUAAGCAUAUGUUUACAUGUGUUGGAAUUCCUGGGAAGGUCUUUGAAAGACAGUAAUAAUGCUGCUGCUGAAGGCUUUUGAUUCCUUUGACAAUAAGUGGGGCCACAAUGUGCACAAUUUGGUGCCAAAGAAAGUUUGUCGGCAGAAUUCUGUACCUGCCUUCUAGUCUCCGCAGAGAGCAGAAUUCUGUACCUGCCCUCUAGUCUCUGCAGACAGCAGAAUUCUGUACCUGCCUUCUAGUCUCCGCAGAGAGCAGAAUUCUGUACCUGCCCUCUAGUCUCUGCAGACAGCAGAAUUCUGUACCUGCCUUCUAGUCUCCGCAGAGAGCAGAGAAUUUGUUGUUGAAUAGAAAUGGCCAACAGUGUUACUAUUGCUGUAUUUUGCAUUUUAUCUAAGGUCGUAUUCAACUUAUUUUUUUCCCAUAAAAAAUUAAACUGUUAAACGGCCUAUUAUCCAUUGUGCUUUUUACACGGGUGUUUCCUGGACUUGUCUGUUGCUCAGUGCGAUUGAAUGACCAUGUAUGACAAAUAGUAAUGAGCUCAUAGUAUUUCCCUUAGUCAGUUAAUAAACACUGCAUGUCUUUGCAAGAAGAGACGCACUUUAUUACUUCCCCAUAUGGUUUCAAAGGGAUGUGAGAGCACAAUGAGUCAGGCCAACAGGAAGCUUAAAAAAAGAAACAGAAAAAGAAAAGUUUUUAAAGAAUUCUAUUGUGUUCCUACCACGUUGCUCAUAGCACUAUAUUUGUUUAUUAAUUCUCAAAAUGGGCAAAGAAAUUUUAUACUUUAAUAAGAAAAGAAAAAGACAAAUAAUAUUUCAGGGAGUUUAAAUGUCAAUAUUUAUAUGGAAAACAAUUUUAUUAAGUGAAUUCACCCAUGUCUUAAGUGCUUCUUGGUAUAUCCAAGAGAGCAUUAAAUGCAUGUUACUUCUUAAAAAAAAAAAUGACCCUUAAAAAGUUUUAAAGAUAUUUUUCUAUUUUUUUUUCCAUUCAGCUUCCAUUUUUGUAACUAGUACACUAAUUCACAGGCAAAGUAAAAACAGAUUAUAACACAAAAUAUUAUUUUGAGCUAUUUUGAUUGUUUUUGAACUUCAUAAUUAUUUGAAGUCAAGAAGCAAGAAAUGCUGGAAUCAAAGUUAAUUUCAGGCUCUAUAUUUUUAAGCUGUAUAUUAAAAUCUCUCUCACCCUAUGUAUACUUUAAUUUUUUAAAAUUCUGACAUUUUCAAAAAUCAAGUAUAAAUUUUAUCUGGAUUAAUACAUAAAUUUGUACAUUGAGUUAAUUUAGUCAUACAUGAGCUUUACAUUUAUAUUCCAAGUAAUUUUCAGAAACAUUGGAGUACUCAGUUUUGUAGGCUGGUUAGCAUUUUGUGUAUCAUUUACUAUUAGUUUUUAGAGUUAGAGGAUUAAUGAAAAGAAAUAUUGGUACUAAAUUGGCAAGUUCUGAAAUCUGUGGUUUCCAAGUCAACAUUCAGGAUUAUUCUUUUAAAAAAAUAGUUAAAUUUUCUCAGUGUUACAUUUACUAUAUUACAAAUAGUGCCUUGUUUUGAUUUGUUAGGAAGACAUUAAUGGCAUAUUCUUUUUUAUGCAGUUUUCUUAAGACUCCAUUAAAACAAAUGGCUUUCCGGUCUGUGUUCCCUUCCAGGUCAGCUAACAAUUUUAUAUUGAUUUGCAAAAGAGACUCCAUUAUAAAAACCUUCUGUAAUUAUCUAAAUUCCAUGUGUUUAGGAAGCUUUUGAAGCAUCCAGGAAUAAGCCAAUUUCCUUAAUGGUGAGAAAGAAUUGUAUGGUGGAUAGAAUAAAUGCUUGUCUACUUACUUAGGCUUGUGUAUAAGUCUGUAAGUAUAUGAUUUGCCAAUUUAAAAAAAUAGUAAAAAUUCUAAUCUUCAUUGGUAAUGUUUUCUACAUAAAAAAGCAAACCAUUAGCAAUUAUAGUUCUAUUUCUUAGUAAUAAUACUGCCAAUCAGCUAUCUUGAAGAUGGAACAGGAAAACCAGACUUAUAUUCAAUGUGAUAAGGAAACCUGAAUUCAUUUUAUAUACUCUAAAGUUAUUAAUAAGUAACCAUAAGAAUAGAUUAAAUAGAUUUGUAAAGAUCAUUGAAAAAGUCCCUAACUUUGCCUACAUACCUAUAGCACAUUUACACUUUAAUAUUUUAAUAUCAAUAUGCCUUCUUAUGAGUUGUGUGUUUGCAAACUGACCAUGUUUUUAAAUUUGUUAUUUCAAAUUCCCCUUUGUUUAGGACUCUUGAAAGCACACAGGACUAACUGAGUUAGGACAAUGGGCUUCCACUGUCCCCGUGGCUGUUGCCUUAUUUAAUAAGGCCUGGCUUGUGCAGUCACCAGUUGGAUUGGAUUAUGUUCUUCCUGACAUUUCCAUUCACUCUGUUGCCCAGCCCUGAUAUGUUAAGCAAGAUGAGAUAUCCUGGGGCCAGGAUGAUUUUCCUUUUAAAGCAUUCUCAUCAGAUUUAAAUAUUUACUGCUUUCCCCCAUGUCAAAGUCAAUUAAAUAUUUUCUCAUAGGAUUUAUGAGAGCCAAAAUGCAAUCUGGAAAGGAACACAUCCAAACCCACUGACUCAAUUGUAGACUGAGAAAUGAAAAUGUGGAUUUCACUGGAGUGUUCUGGCAUGGCAGUUUAGUUAACUUUAGGAAGCCUGGAAUGUGGCCCUAGGAAGGAAAAUCCUUGAGCAUUGAGGGGCCCCCUUAAUGAAUUUCUCCAUUUCUCUAUGAUCUUUCCUUUAGUUCCAUAGCCCCCACCUAAGUAGAGCGUGAGGUCGGUGGGAAUAAGGAAAGACAUAAAGCAAACGAUGCUGUCAGCUGUCCAAAUUGUAUAACCUUAUUCAUGCUGAUAACGUACUGCAGGGACAUUCAAAAAUGAGUCUGCAUUUCCUGAGCAUAUCCUACCUCACCUUUGCUGUGAAUAAAUCACAGACUGUCCUAGAUUCCAGAACUCCCAGCCAGCGAAGCUGGCAUUCCAAGAGAAUCCCCUGAUUCUUUUUGGCAAAACUCAGUCAAGAACAUAUUGUCGGUUCUUCAUGGGCUCAACUAACUGUGGAUUCCAUUCACAAUCACUUUGCUUUGCGUGUCGUGUACACUUAUGACUGUUGUGUUUAUCAGCAGUUCCAGAGUGCAGCUGCGAGGUUGCUUCCAAAUAUUACAAUAUGGUUACACAAUGUUUGUAGAAUUUGGAAUCCAUUAUUCUCAUAUUCAAGGACAGGUUUCAGAUUUCAGCACUGAAAGAUGUCUUCCCAGCUCUUUCAUUGCUUUCAGGGCACUCAGCUCACAUGGCCAGAGACAAGAACUGUGCAGCCUCCACAGCCACCUAAACCAUACACUUUCUAGAGGACUCUAUGAAAGCCUGUUUCAUGUGCAGCAGGAUGGAAGAAUACAGAUAACUUUUUCAAUACUAGAACCAUAAAAAGUCACUGAAACUAUAUUACCUUUUUGUUUAUCCUAAAAGAGACAAAUAUUCACCCUAUCUAGAAACCGAGAACAUCUUCAAAUGCACCUCUGUGUUGUUGAAAAAGGCAUGAUUUGGGGAACUUUAAAGAUGUUGAAAAAUGAAGAAUUCUUUUAUUUAUUCCUUUGAUAAUUCUACUAGAAGUGCAUUUUUUAACAAGAAGACAGUUUCUUUGUUCUUUGUUCAUUAACAUGGUUUUAUUCAUCAUAACUUUGAAUCAAAUUAUCCCUUUCACAAAACUGCUCACGUUGUUUCCUGUUCCUUGGCACGAUGAAGCAAUGCAUAUGUAUGAUGCGUCACCAAGUGUCAUUUUAGGAAAGACCCUGUUAGUGUGCCUAUGGAGAGAAGCGGAGGUAGAGUAUCGUAGCCAUGGAAGCCACUUUACUUUGCAGCCUUUAGCUUCCUGGAGGGAAUCUGGCGAUGGGAAAGGAAUUCCAUUUUGCAUACUAUAUUGUUAGUGUGCAAAUGCUUCACUUAUUUAUAUCAUUCAGUUCAAUCUGGACAUCUUAUUUUAAAAAUGUGUAUCUCAGUCCCUCUUUGAAGAAACCUAUAACAAAAAUAUAUGAAUCAGAGCUCACAAUUUUACAUUAUUUAUAGAUCGUAAUAACGAUCUUGGCAUUUGUAUUUACCUUAUGUUGAGAUGGGAAAACAUUUUGGAAGGUUUUUUGGAGCAAUAGGAGAGGGGAAUGAAGUACACCAUUAAAACAGGAAGGACAUUGCAGUCACCUAAUCAGACAGCCUCAGGACCACCAGCAGAUGGUGCAAUAACCUAUGUAAUAGUAUUAUCAGAAAAUAACCAAGAAAGGCGUCUUUCUUUUUUUGCGAAUUAAUUCUAAAUACACCUAGAAGUAAUGAGUUUAAUGAUGCAUUUAAAGCAAUAAACAUAGACUCUGUAAUAAUUUUGUAAUAAUAAUUAUACAUAAUAUCUGACUUUUUAAAAGAGACUUUAGAACUCUCUGGUUCUAGCCUGCUGUUUAUAGCUGAGGAAAGUAAAUUUCUUAAGUUUAAACUUCAACCACCAGCUAAGGAGUGUUGUGAUGAGCAUUCUAGUCAUAUGACUGAGCCCAUCGCUCAUUGAUUGAACAACAUUAUCCCUCAGCAAAUACCAUGUCUAGUCCAAUAAUCAAAAUUUGGCCAGCAGUGGGGUGGCAUUUGAUCAUCAUCCAAGUUAAGAUUUCUCAGCAGAUGUUUAUCUGCGAAGAGUCCUCUACUUUUAGAACAUUCAUUGUUUUAGGAAAGAGGCAUUUUCUGGGAGAACAUGCUCUCCUGUCCUCCCUGUUUCCAGCAGCUGCAAACUAAUGUGUCAUUUUGCCAAAUGCUUCCUGUAUAGCUUCUGGCUAUUUCUGCAAAAGAGCAAGAGAGAAAGAAAGAGAGAGAGAGAAAGAGGAGAGAUUUUUUUUUUUACACCUUUGCUUUGUACUAGGAAAAUAUUUCUCAUACAGUUAACAAUGGCAUACUAAUGGGAAUGAUUUAAGAAGCCCUAGCUUCUACUCUGUUGCCAGAAUGCCAACGGGAAUGUAUGCUACUAUUAAAAAAAUAGGUAUUGACAGUAGCCUGCACUAUUGCACUGCAGUGAAAGAGUGCGGAAAGCUUCAGUUUAUAAAACAUGCUUGAUGCGUCAAAAAUAAUCACCUUCCCUGAUAACUGAAAAGGACAGAGAAUUAAUACGACAGUCAUGGACUCUUAAAAAUUUAUUUUUGAUAAUUAACAUUAUUUCUUCUUGACGAUGUUGCCAAAAGGCUUGAACACAGUCUGAAGAAGAUGCACGAUCAUUUAUGCUGAAAACAAAAGAAAUUAGAAGCUUUUGUUGCACAGAUAAGAAAAGAUGACAUUUCUGAACACCAAACAUCCUAUCAGAUCUAUCCAUAUUUGUUUUAUGAAUGGGUAACAUUUUCUAUUAGCUAAUGAAAAGAUGGUAGUUUAACAGUGAAAUAAUUUUUAAUGUAUUAUAAUCAGAGAAUACAAGGUAAGCAAAAGUACAACCAAAUGUCUGACUAGAAAAAAUAUAUUAUCUUACGGAAUUAAAAAAUAUUAUUUUAUUAAAUAAAAUAUGGUUUUCUUUUGAAAGUGUCUGGAAAUCAAAAUGUAAAGAUCAGUGCAACCAUUUAAUUGAGUUUUAUUUUGACAAAAGGCAUUCUGUGUAUAUGCAUGUUUUAGAAAUAAGAUGAAAUGCAUAAAUUCAGGUAAAGCAUUUUGCCCACUACCUGUUUCAAAUUAUUGGUUAUUAUUAUUGUUAUUACCAUUAGAAGACAGAAGAAGGGCCAUCCAAUUUUCAGCAUAUACAACUCUUAAGCAGAAGGACCUUUAACAAAAGCUAAGUGUCCAGGCCUUGGCUUACUCAUCAAAGCCAAUGACCACAUCAGAUGUUCCCUGGACGCCUUCUGACGUUUAGCAUUUGGUGAUUUUAUCAUCUUACUCCAAAUAAAGGAAGCAGCAAAACCUCUCUGAUUUUAUUUUGAGAUCUCUGCUUAAAUAACUAUAAAAUGUAUUUGACCACAUUAUGAGAACAUUUGGUAAAAUAAAUUUUAUUUGGAAUGCCAACUUGAAUUGGGAAUUAACUAUUAGAGGAUGUGACUUCCCUGAUGCUUCCCUCAUUACUGGACAGAAUUGGGGCAUCCUAUGGGAUUGACUAGGAGAGCAUAUUUGCUUUUCUUUGUUUGGUCUUUAGUUGGGAAUGAGGGCAAAAUUUAGGGAAGCUGUCAGUUAUUAAUCAAGGGGUGGUCAUUUUGGGCAGAUUGCUCAGAAGUGGAGUUUGUGGGUCAGACUACUAUUUUCUUUUUCUAGAGACAGGGUUUUGCUCUGUCACCUACCCUAGAGUGCCGUGAAUGAUCAUAGCUCAUGGCAGUCUGGAACUCCUGGGUUCAAGUGAUCCUCCCGCCUCGAUCUCCCACAGUGUUGGGAUAACAGGUGUGAGCCACUGCACCUGGCCAAGAGUACCAUGUUCAUAUAUGGUCCAGUUGUAAGCCUUUUGUGUAGUUGCCCUCUUCAUGUAAGGCAGCUCUAGUGGUAGUUACAGAUUUUCUAAAAGGGAGAGAGGUACAGGGGUAAAUUUGUGAAUGGAGACUCUCAGGAAAUUGAUGACCCUGCAUUUGCAUAGAAAACUCCCUAGUUUUUCUUGGCCUAUUUGUUUACAUGGAGCAGCUUCUGAGCAGGACCCACUGGACAAGAGGCUGUUGGAGCCUGUCCUGUGUCCCACAGUCCACAGCUGCAGAGAAUUCUUGUGUUAAAUCCAUCUCAUUCUCAUGGAGGUGCUGACAUUAAUUUUCUAAUUGUAAUCAAAUAGCAAAAAGACUUUAAGAACAGUCAUGAAUUUCAAACCUUAAAUAAAACAUUCUUUUUUUAUGCAAAACUCUCUCCUAAUGAAGUAUGCUACCAAAUAAUUUGCUUUGCAGUUCUCAGGGAAGUUAUUGAGAAAAUGAUGAAUGGACAGAAGGGGGAAAGAAUAGAAAGAUUGGAAAGAGAGAUGGGCUGAAGAGCUUCUGAGUAACUUGAACAAAAUCAAAUACUAGGAAAAUUAAUGAUUAAUCAAACUAAUUGAUUUAUAAGAUGAAUGCUCCACUCAGAAUAAAAAUAAUGAUAUUAAAUGGCAGAAUAACUGCAUUUGAGGUUAUUGAAAGGAAAGAAAAUCUCUGCAGUGACUGGAGUUAAUGACUUGCUCCUGCCCUGCUAUCAACUUCCUUCAUUCGGAAUAUAUAUAUUUUCUCUCUCUCUCUUCCUCCCAUGGAAUAUUAAUAUCUAUAUGACGAUUGGAUUUGCUCACAAAUCAUAAUAAAGCAAAAUUAUGAUUUGAAUAUUACUUCCAUAUUUUGAAUACUCCCCGAAGUGCCUUUUGAAUGAUUAGAGUGAUUUUUCAUUUAGUGCAUGAAGACACUGAGUUAAAAAUGAAGGCUGUAUACACAGCCCCUAAAUGCAUAAUAUCAUUUUACAUUUUUAUGAAGAUGUUCAUCUGAAGCUUUCAAAGCCCAUUGCUGAUUUAAGGUCGUUCACAUUCAGCCAUGCAGCUGCUCUGAAGACACAGGAACUGUGUAGCUCCCUAUGGGGAAUGUCAAGGACUGAAAGGUCUAAGAUGUUACCCUACUUGCAACCAACAAGUUAUGCAGCCACAGUUUUAUGGAUGCUGUCAAAAGGCAUGACACUCCUGGGUAAGAGACAGAAGACUUUACUACUCGUGGUGUAGCAGCCAGCUGGAGCAUCUUGUUUUUUGAGUUAAUGCCACUUGUCCCCUAAGUCCCACAGGUAAGGAUACGAAUUUUCCCAGAUGGAAGCUUAGAAGCAUGCAUGCAUGGGGUGGUAAUGCUGGAGAGGACCUCUGAACUUGGAGCUCAGAGCUUUAACAGUGGUUGGAAAGUGUAUCUUUCACCUGCUCUAGAAAGAGACAUGGAGGGAGUCUCCUUCAUAAAAGACCUUUCAUACUGUUUGGUAUUCAAAUACCCUUGGAAAGAGGGGCUGAGACACAGGGUGGCCAGUGCCUCUGCUCACAACAUGUACCCAAAUCCAGAGGCACAUGAAAAAUUAUCUUCCAAAACAAUGGUGAACUUUCCCAUAAGCGCACCACUCCACUAGCUACUGUGAUGAAUCUGUUCAAUUAUUCCCUCUCUAGCAUGCAAUUUAGCAUGAGGGCAGCCUGCAGUGGUGACCUAAGGUAUGACACCCCACCCCCAAUCCUAGAUGCAGCCAAUGGCAAACAGCAUGAACUGGGAGGCGGCCGACCAUCGCUUACGCCUCUGCUUCGUGCACGUGUUUUCUACUUUUCUUGCACUGUAAAGGCAGAGGUUGCAUCAAUACCCUUAUGGCCUGCAAAGCCCAAAAUAAUUACUGGCUGACUCUUCUCAGUGAACAUUUGCUAACCCUGUCACAAACCAUCAGGUUCUACCGCAGAUUGCCCUGUGGCUCUCGUUAGGUUUCUGUGUGGACGUUUCCACGUGGUCUGAGGCAUUCAUCCAAGAAGAGCAUGGUGUGUUAGUGACUGCACAGAUUCUGCCUUGGCCCAAAAAGAGAACAUCCAGGGCAGUCCUGUCAUCUGUAACAAUGCUGGCCAGUGAGUUGAGGCUGACCUGAAUGCUGUCCUGGGCUGAGAUGGUGUCACUGAUCACUUCAGCCGAAGAUGGGAAAUUUCUUAGCACCUGGUAUGAUUUGCUGACUUCCAUGGUCAGGAUAAGGGGUCUCAGGAUGCAUGGAAAUACCACGCUUCUCUGGGAAGCUUCCCUGAGUUACCAAGGGAUCCUCAUGUCUGAGAGACCUCCACUGUCAUCUGAGGGUCACAUGGACUUUCCUGCAAUGCUUCAAGGUCUCCUGUGAUAACCCCUAAGAUGGAACUCCCAGUGUUUUGGGGAGGUAGACUGUGGCAUGCAGUUUUGACAAGUGCUCAGUAGCAAGACAAUGGCUGCUUUUCAGAAGUGCACCUGGCAAGCCCAGCACCACCUGGGCACCUCUGAGUGAGGGCUGCCUCACUUUGUCAGAAGAUCCUGUUGACGAAAACUGCCAGUUUUAGCUCAAGGGGAAUAACUCAAGGAAUCACUGGGGUUGGGGAGCCCCAAAGGUAGCAGGUGGGCCACAGCUUACUGGACUUUCCAACACAGCUUGUUGAUUUGAGCUCCUCUAAAAGGAUGUUUAUUUGUGCUUUGAUCAAUAGAAAAGGCAUGAAGGAUGCCCAAGCUAGGCACAUGCAGUCUGCAAUACCCAGAGUUCAGGAAGGGACUGGGCUCCUCUCCAGGCUCUGGUGGUGAUUUGGGGGAGAGCAGGCAGCAGAGGGACAGCUGUGUUUAGUCUCAUGUCGGUGGGGAUAUGGAGAGUUUAAUGGCUCUCAUUUCACCCACACGAUGCGAAGAAACAUUACCUGGUCAUAAAGCCCCUAAAUUGUAUGUGGUUUCCCCUCUAACAGAGGUGUUAAUAAUCCUAUAAUCAGGGCCACUGAGGCAAAGGCUUCUGACUUCCUGACCUAUAGUGGGAACUUUGGGCAUAGUGGGAAGGAGGCACUUGCAUUGAGCCCUGACCUACACACCAGGAACAUGUGGCUGAGGGGGUUCCUCCUGCUGGUCCUGCUCUAACUGUGGCUCUUACUGAUGGAAAGGCAGCACUUGGAAGUGGAAAGCACAAGUGUGGAACAUUUCAAUUCCUGCUGUAUGCUGCAGAAACUACCACAGGGCCCCAAGUACCCUCCUACCCUUCCCCACUAAGCACCCCCUUAACUUCAUCACCUGAAUUUGGGCUCCCAUAGAACAUGAUGGGUGGAGACCAGAGAGUUUUUAUCCAACAGAACCAGGCAAGCUUGAGGCUCACCUUCCCAUUCCCCAGCAUAUUCCGCUGGGUAAGUGUAUGCUUCAGUCCCUCUUGGGGACCCAGAGACUUGGGCACCAUCCUUAAUCAUUUAUGCCUGAGGUUGCAAUUUUUUGAAUUUGAAAAAUCAGACCUGGGCGAUGACCUUGAGAAGUAGUUUACAAACAACUCUCACAUGCUUAGCAUUCCAAUAAUGGAACACUAGGCAUACAUUGAUAGGGUGCUUUAAAUGCAAUUGAUACUCUGCAAGGAUUCAUUAAAUAAGUAGAGAAUGACUUUAAAUAUUUACCCAUCUAACAAAGAUGCAUGACUAAGGGCAGAUGUUUUGCACUUUUGUCUCUGCAGACGGUGCAGUUGGGUUUAGCUUGGUCAUCUUCUUCUUAGACUGGCUGCUGGUGACAGUUUAUUGAACCAAUAUGGUAAAGUGGUGUCCUUGUCUGUGUGCUUUGGGGUCCACAGCCCUCUUUAACAGCCUGUUCUAAGGUUCUCAACCAUGUCACCAUCUAGCUAACAUUUCAGUAGGUGAAACCGCAGGAAGGCUUAAGAACCAUGUUGCCAUGUCCGCAUCCCUAUUCCUGAUUCUUUUCGCAGACGUAGACCUGCAAUCUUAUGUCUCUAUCCUUACUUUCAACUGGUUUUCUCUUUUUCUUCUCCUUUUUCCUGACCUCCUUUAUGAUUUUCAUUUCUCCACUGUCUGAAUAUACCAAACCAUCCUUUUGCUUCCUCUUUUCUCUUCAUUAAUUAUUCCAGGGGCUCUUUUUAAAUUUUAAUUAGGAAGAUUUAUUAUUUUAACAUGCUUUAUAAAGUUAGUGGCAUUAAGGAAUUAAUGUCCUUGAAAACUCAUACAUGUUCAUCUACUAGAACCCUCUAAAUCCAAGGAGCAAGAACAUGCCAUCUCUGAGUGUCCGCAGGAACAAUACCAGAUCGUAC